GCCGCGGGCGGUGGCGCAUGCCUGUAGUCCCAGCUACUCGGGAGGCUGAGGUGGGAGGAUCACUUGAGCCCAGGAGUUCUGGGCUGUAGUACACUAUGCUGAUCGGGUGUCCGCACUAAGUUCGGCAUCAAUAUGGUGACCUCCCAGGAGCGGGGAACCACCAGGUUGCCUAAGGAGGGGUGAACCGGCCCAGGUCAGAAACAGAGCAGGUCAAAACUCCUGUGCUGAUCAGUAGUGGGAUCACGCCUGUGAAUAGCCACUGCACUCCAGCCUGGGCAACAUAGCGAGACCCUGUCUCU
Molecule: signal recognition particle RNA, 299 nt
Filed under: Cebus imitator (Panamanian white-faced capuchin)
Lineage: Eukaryota; Metazoa; Chordata; Mammalia; Primates; Cebidae
Description: Metazoan signal recognition particle RNA (ENSCCAG00000001725.1)
Rfam family: Metazoan signal recognition particle RNA
About the family: The signal recognition particle (SRP) is a universally conserved ribonucleoprotein.
Source: RNAcentral